UAGCUUAGUGUCACUUUUCUCAUCCCAUAUGAUAAUGUUUGGCAGAGGAACACCUACCUCAGCAUCUGGAUCCCUCCUGCACAGUUCACAGACCCAGUGUCUGACAAUUUCAGUGGCUUUAGAUAAAACACAUUUUUCUUACACCCGUAUAGCCUUUCUGCAGAGAGCUUCACCCAUUUUGCUUCAGUGCAGAUGCCACAGUGGUUGCUUGUCUGCGAGUGUAAAGCACAGAUGCUCUUCAGCUCUACCUUGGAGGAUUCAUGUGGAGAAGAGCUUCAGGGAUGCCAUAUAAAGCACAUAAAAUUCAUGGACAGUUUGAGAUGUAUUGAUGACUGCCUGAUUACCAGUAAUUUGUUUGAUGCAGGUAGUGUGGGGUGAGCACAAAGGACAGCAAAACAUCUUCCAUAUUUUAAUCUGGAUUUUUUUUUUUUCUUUAACAAGGAGAGUGAGAUUAUUUUCUGGCAUUCCUCCACAGCUCUGCACAGUCUCAAAUUAAAUUGCUAGAAUGCUGCCCUGAGAGAUUUUAAUUUACAUUUCAAUAGUCCAAAGCAGCAGUUAGUAAAUCUCCUUCUUGGAGUAAGCUUCAGUUUCUGGUUAAUCACUAAAGUUUCUGAAAUUGGUGAGAAACAGGUGUUUAAUCUCUUUAAGGGCUAAGGUAUAAUUUCCUUUGUUGUGGAAAGCUAUGAGCCCAGGAGCUCUGCCCCUUUGAUAGCAGGGCUUAAAAGUAUCAACCCAUAGCUUUUAAUUACCGUCCCCUCAGCUGCAAAGUGAUGCAGGAGAAAAGAGACUGGCAUAGGUCGAUGCUGCUUAUGACUGUGACCUUGCCGUGACCACGUAUGCCGCUUUUGACAGUUUGGACAGCCUUGAACAGCAUACUUUAUUCUGAGCAUGGUGCAGCUCCCAUGAAAGUAUCUUGUGACCAUUGCAUUGGAUCAAAAUUCAGAGCUGGCUGCUUUCCACCAAAGACUCUCUUUGGCAUCUUGUUCAUAUGCUCACCUGUCUACAUUCAGAAGAUAAGACCUCCUUUUUUUAGGUUAUUGUUUCUACUUUCCAGUUUACCAAAGCAUGGUAAUAAAACUGUAUCACGCUAUUCUUCUUUCGUAAGUAGCAUCGUGCCAUUUUCUGUGGUGACUGGAGGUGGAGUAGCCUCAGGAUAUAGGAAAACAGAAUUGCAAAAUAUCCUUAUUAUGCAGGCAUGA
RNAcentral lists this long non-coding RNA (1199 nucleotides) under Anser brachyrhynchus (Pink-footed goose). RNAcentral describes it as "lncRNA (ENSABRG00000021686.1)". The record is from RNAcentral. Lineage: Eukaryota; Metazoa; Chordata; Aves; Anseriformes; Anatidae.